Molecule: ribosomal RNA, 501 nt
Filed under: uncultured bacterium
Lineage: Bacteria
Description: partial 16S ribosomal RNA
Rfam family: Bacterial small subunit ribosomal RNA
Source: RNAcentral
AUUGAACGCUGGCGGCAUGCCUUACACAUGCAAGUCGAACGGCAGCACGGGUGCUUGCACCUGGUGGCGAGUGGCGAACGGGUGAGUAAUACAUCGGAACGUACCUUAUCGUGGGGGAUAACGCAGCGAAAGCUGUGCUAAUACCGCAUACGCCCUGAGGGGGAAAGCGGGGGAUCGAAAGACCUCGCGCGAUUAGAGCGGCCGAUGCCUGAUUAGCUUGUUGGUGGGGUAAAAGCCCACAAAGGCGACGAUCAGUAGCUGGGCUGAGAGGACGAUCAGCCACACUGGGACUGAGACACGGCCCAGACUCCUACGGGAGGCAGCAGUGGGGGAUUUUGGACAAUGGGGGCAACCCUGAUCCAGCAAUGCCGCGUGAGUGAAGAAGGCCUUCGGGUUGUAAAGCUCUUUUGUCAGGGAAGAAACACCGGCUCUAACACAGUCUGGGAAUGACGGUACCUGAAGAAUAAGCACCGGCUAACUACGUGCCAGCAGCCGCCGUAA